AGAGUUUGAUCAUGGCUCAGGACGAACGCUGGCGGCGUGCCUAAUACAUGCAAGUCGAGCGAGCGGAACCAACAGAUUUACUUCGGUAAUGACGUUGGGAAAGCGAGCGGCGGAUGGGUGAGUAACACGUGGGGAACCUGCCCCUAAGUCUGGGAUACCAUUUGGAAACAGGUGCUAAUACCGGAUAAUAAAGCAGAUCGCAUGAUCAGCUUUUGAAAGGCGGCGUAAGCUGUCGCUAAGGGAUGGCCCCGCGGUGCAUUAGCUAGUUGGUAAGGUAACGGCUUACCAAGGCGACGAUGCAUAGCCGAGUUGAGAGACUGAUCGGCCACAUUGGGACUGAGACACGGCCCAAACUCCUACGGGAGGCAGCAGUAGGGAAUCUUCCACAAUGGACGCAAGUCUGAUGGAGCAACGCCGCGUGAGUGAAGAAGGUUUUCGGAUCGUAAAGCUCUGUUGUUGGUGAAGAAGGAUAGAGGUAGUAACUGGCCUUUAUUUGACGGUAAUCAACCAGAAAGUCACGGCUAACUACGUGCCAGCAGCCGCGGUAAUACGUAGGUGGCAAGCGUUGUCCGGAUUUAUUGGGCGUAAAGCGAGCGCAGGCGGAAAAAUAAGUCUAAUGUGAAAGCCCUCGGCUUAACCGAGGAACUGCAUCGGAAACUGUUUUUCUUGAGUGCAGAAGAGGAGAGUGGAACUCCAUGUGUAGCGGUGGAAUGCGUAGAUAUAUGGAAGAACACCAGUGGCGAAGGCGGCUCUCUGGUCUGCAACUGACGCUGAGGCUCGAAAGCAUGGGUAGCGAACAGGAUUAGAUACCCUGGUAGUCCAUGCCGUAAA
Molecule: ribosomal RNA, 831 nt
Filed under: uncultured bacterium
Lineage: Bacteria
Description: bacterial SSU rRNA
Rfam family: Bacterial small subunit ribosomal RNA
Source: RNAcentral